CUGCAGGCUGCAACUCGCCUGCACGAAGUCGGAAUUGCUAGUAAUCGCGGAUCAGAAUGCCGCGGUGAAUACGUUCCCGGGCCUUGUACACACCGCCCGUCACACCAUGGGAGUCGGUAACACCCGAAGUCGGUGGUCUAACCGCAAGGAGGACGCCGCCGAAGGUGGGAUUGAUGACUGGGGUGAAGUCGUAACAAGGUAGC
RNAcentral lists this ribosomal RNA (203 nucleotides) under uncultured bacterium. RNAcentral describes it as "partial 16S ribosomal RNA". It matches the Rfam family "Bacterial small subunit ribosomal RNA", at positions 1298 to 1500 of the family's 1533-position model. The record is from RNAcentral.